Molecule: ribosomal RNA, 253 nt
Filed under: uncultured bacterium
Lineage: Bacteria
Description: partial 16S ribosomal RNA
Rfam family: Bacterial small subunit ribosomal RNA
Source: RNAcentral
UACGUAGGGUGCGAGCGUUGUCCGGAAUUAUUGGGCGUAAAGAGCUCGUAGGCGGUCUGUCGCGUCGAAUGUGAAAACCCGGGGCUCAACUCCGGGCUUGCAUUCGAUACGGGCUGGCUAGAGUGUGGUAGGGGAGAUCGGAAUUCCUGGUGUAGCGGUGAAAUGCGCAGAUAUCAGGAGGAACACCGGUGGCGAAGGCGGAUCUCUGGGCCAUUACUGACGCUGAGGAGCGAAAGCGUGGGGAGCGAACAGG